UUUGUAUGUCUCAAUAUAAUAGUAUUAUUUAAUUAAAUCCAUUUAAAAUGAUCUUUGUCUGAAAAUAAAAUAUGAUCCUCAACUGCGUUUCCCUCCAGUCAGCAGACGGCGAUGUGCGUCUUUCAGGCGACGCUGCCAGCGUGACGUAUAAUCUAGUGGACGGUUCUUCAUAAACAGCUCGUCAACCACCUCGGUAGUUUGCUAGCCAACAUAGCCGAAAGAUUCAAGCUAUUUAUACGCUUUCGGUGUAUAUAUUAGCUACUGUGUUUUCGACACACUUAGGUCGUAUCUACUUGUUAAUUUAUUUAAUUUAAUAUUACGUUAUUUUGUAUUAGUCAGCUAUAGUAGCUGGCUGGUUAAAUUAGCACUAGCCUAGUCGCUAAUGAUAGCUAGCUAGCUAACAUCCCCGAACAUGAGCUCCCUAAACUUCUCCCCUCUUGUUAUAGAAGAGGAGGUCUGCUGGACGGAGAAAGGAGGUCUGUGGCUGAACGUUGUGGUGAAAGAGGAGGAGGAAGAGGAGGCUGUUACAGUGAAAGAAGAGGUAGAGGAUGGGGCUGUUACAGUGAAAGAAGAGGAAGACGCGUUCAGAGUGAAAGAGGAGGAGGAUGAGAAAGAGGAGGAUGUAGUUUUUGGUGUGAAAGAAGAGGAGGUUGGAGAUCUGUUUAACCCCAGUUUUCUGUCCUCAGAUAAAGAGCUCUAUGAAAGCCAGUCUACAUAUGAAGAGGUCCCAAUGAAGAGCAGUGGUUCUCAGUCCUGGGGACUCAGAGGCACAUUGUUGUUUUUGCCUCAGCACUGCAGGGCUGAUUCAAAUGAUCAACUCAUCAUCAAGCUUCAAGUGAUACCUUGUAACUGGAGAUUCCUUCAAAACGAUUGCCUACAGUUACCGUGUAGGGCACUGCAAGGUUGGGUGACCAGGGUCAUCUGGGACUGCCUCCUGGAGGAAUUCAGGUGUGUGAAGGCUACCUGUGUCCUGCGUAACGUCAUGACGAUGGACACGAGGACCAGGAGGGGAUCUGCAGCUCGCCGCCGUGUCCCAGAGGAGGAGUCUGCUGCUCUGCAGGAUGUUUCGAGGAUGGGGUCUAACAACGCAGCAAGAGAGGCAAUCCGUGUGCAGGAGAUCUUCACCUCCUACUUCUUCAAAGAGGGUGCUGUUCGCUGGCAACACCAUAGACUACACUAUGCACAACCAAAGGCUCUUUUAAGAGGGUGCUGUUCCCUGGCAACACCAUAGACUACACUAUGCUCAACCAAAGGCUCUUUUAAGAGCCAUUCACAUUGCAAUAGGAGUAUUCCAUUUACUUAGCUAUGUCAACUGCAGUUAUUCAAUUCAUAGUUUCUCUCCCUUUGAUUUCUACUUCUCAGGUGAGGGUGUAAUGUCUGUGCAAAAACAAAACAGGCUAUUUUAAAUCACCCAUAUUGAAAAAAUGUAGAACAAUUAGACACCCUAUAACCCACACCUACACACUCAUGUAUCAAUCUGAUUGAUGGAUUGUGUUGUGCAGUAAGCAGGCUCAGGUGUAUUACUGUGGCUCCUUCCACCUUCAAAGAAUAGGCAAGAGGGCCAACCAUGGAGAAUAGUUAUCUCAGCUGUGUCGGUGAACCCCUCCUGCAUCUGAACUGGCUACAUAGAGGGCACAGCAUGGUCAG
Salvelinus fontinalis (brook trout) is the source of this 1647-nucleotide RNA transcript. RefSeq lists it as uncharacterized. The record is from RefSeq and is a predicted model, not a curated record. The transcript has 4 exons. Lineage: Eukaryota; Metazoa; Chordata; Actinopteri; Salmoniformes; Salmonidae.